RNAcentral lists this small RNA (252 nucleotides) under Brevibacillus sp. WF146. Its description in RNAcentral is "BsrG". It matches the Rfam family "BsrG". Rfam says of the family: bsrE, bsrG and bsrH pair through intermolecular interactions with antisense sRNAs. SR4 interaction with the 3'UTR of bsrG RNA promotes bsrG degradation and inhibits its translation. The record is from Rfam by way of RNAcentral. Lineage: Bacteria; Bacillati; Bacillota; Bacilli; Caryophanales; Paenibacillaceae.
GUACAAUAGUACACCGGUUCGCAAAGGGCGGCUCCCCCCCAUCCCUGCGAGAAAGGGGGUGACGCGAUGACGGUAUACCAAGCGUUGAGUCUGAUGCUGACGUUCGGUACCCUGGUUGUCUUGCUCCUGACGAACAAAAAGAAGUAGGCCGCGCGUGAGUCCGACAGCUCCGCAACCUACUCCUCUUCCAACGGGCCGUUCCCUUUGCGGAAACGUCUAUUGUGCGAUGACCGGAGCGCGGCAACGCUUCGG